GCCACUGUGGUGUAAUGGCUAACACAUCUGCCUCGUAAGCAGGAGACCUAGGUUCAGGUCCUGGCUGUGGCA
Schistocerca piceifrons (Central American locust) is the source of this 72-nucleotide non-coding RNA. The record is from the annotation of a RefSeq genome assembly. NCBI's taxonomy places the organism in Eukaryota, Metazoa, Arthropoda, Insecta, Orthoptera, Acrididae.